Molecule: non-coding RNA, 21 nt
Filed under: Arabidopsis thaliana (thale cress)
Lineage: Eukaryota; Viridiplantae; Streptophyta; Magnoliopsida; Brassicales; Brassicaceae
Source: RNAcentral
UUAAUUCUCGACGAACACUGC